Molecule: long non-coding RNA, 1320 nt
Filed under: Strigops habroptila (Kakapo)
Lineage: Eukaryota; Metazoa; Chordata; Aves; Psittaciformes; Psittacidae
Description: lncRNA (ENSSHBG00005004642.1)
Source: RNAcentral
AAUGGACCAAAGCAUCUUUAUUAAGAAGUAGCAGUUUUAUUCCCCGAAGUAAUUUUAAACUAUGAAUUUUUUAACGCUGAAAAACAGAACUGAAAAUAAAAGGCUAAAAUAUAAAAACAUUUACAACAUAAACUAUAUAAUUAUUCUGAAAAGAGUUUGGCCCACUCUGAAAGAACUGUACUCUUUACCUAAAGAUGCAAAACAGUAAAGAGUUAAACACAGUUCAAAUUACUUCUGCAUGACUGUCCUGGUUUUGCCUGGGAUAGAGUUAAUUUUCUUCCUAAUAGCUGUUACGGUGCUGUGUUUUGGAUUUAGUCUGAAAAUAAUGUUGAUUACAAACCUGUGUUUUCAGUUGUUGCUAAGUAGUGCUUACCCUGAUCAAGGGCAUUUCAGUUUCCCACGCUCUGCCAGUGAGGAGGAGCACAAGAAGCUGGAAGGAGCACAACUAGAACAGGUGACCUGAACUAGCCAAAGGGAUAUUCCAUACCCUGGAUUGUGAUGCUUGGUAUAUAAACUGGGAGUGGGUUGGCUGGGAGCCACCAAUCACCGCUAUGGGCUGGGCAUCAGUCAGUGGGUGGUGAGCAAUUGUUUUGUGCAUCAUUUGUGCUUCUUGAGUUUUAUUUCUCUCCUUUUUUUGUUGUCUCCCUUUUCAUCACAAUUAUUAUAGUAUUAUAUUAUUUUAUUUCAAUUAUUAAACUGUUCUUAUAUCUACCUACAGGUUUUACCUUGUUUUCUGAUUCUCCUUCCCAUCCCACCAGGGGUGGGGGGAGGUGAGCGAGCGGCUGUGUGUUGGGGGCUGCGGUUAAACAAUGACAACUACCAGUUUGGGUAGCAAAUGGUUCUGGAACAAAAAUAAUUUCAUUCCCAAAGUUUAACUAAUUUCUAAAUUAGACUUUGGAAUCAGGUACAGACCUGCUGAGGUAAAGGCUUAGUUCUGAAGUACUGACCAUCUGCUACCAUUCUAUUUACAUUCCAAUGCUAUCAGACAACUAAGUUAACCUGUUUUCACCAGAAUAGGUAAGAUCCUAGAAUAAAUAAGGCACUGAAAAGUCAGUAGAGUCCAAAGGCAGUGUAAGGAAUAGCUGCCACCUUUUACCUCCUGCCCAGUGAUAUUUGUAAGCUUUUCCAGCCCAAACUAUAGAGGACAGCCCUCAAGCAGAGUAGGAGGUGGCUCUUCUAUAGCACUUUGCUCAAAGAGGGCUCACAGGUAUACAAGGGAGACAACAGAAGAUCUAAGCAGUCUGUGCAUUAGGCUUUAAGGCCCAUAUGAUCAAGAAGCAUGAACCCAGCACUCUGCACAGCUGAAGAAAGGAAUAAAAA